GGUGUUUUCUUAGACCAGCAUAUCUAAUAAUAUCUGUUAUGUUUUAUUUCAGGGAUAUUUUUUUAAUGUAAAAGUCGCUUAAUUGAGCUUUCUGAUUUAGCAUAUACAUGGUUUUGACGUCAAAUAAUGCACUAUUAGGCAUCUACAGCAAGAUACGAUUGUGUUAAAGGAUUCGGAACGACAUGAGGCUCUCAGUUGCUCAUCUUUGCGGAUGAGGCUCUCCGCCUGCUCCCGCACGGUUUUCUCCGCGUCCUCCAGCCUCUGCUCC
Molecule: long non-coding RNA, 268 nt
Organism: Sinocyclocheilus anshuiensis
Lineage: Eukaryota; Metazoa; Chordata; Actinopteri; Cypriniformes; Cyprinidae
Exons: 3
Source: RefSeq, a predicted model, not a curated record